This 223-nucleotide unclassified non-coding RNA is filed under the name plant metagenome. RNAcentral's name for it is "partial contains small subunit ribosomal RNA, internal transcribed spacer 1, and 5.8S ribosomal RNA". The record is from RNAcentral.
UUUCCGUAGGUGAACCUGCGGAAGGAUCAUUAAAAGUAAUCAGUACUCUGUACUAAUUAUAAACCCAUCUGUGUAUCUUACCUGUUGCUUCCGUGGGGUGCGGUGGCUCCGGCCGCCGCUUGACCCACGGGAGGUCUACACCAAACCAUUGCAUUGCCAUGAUCUCGGUCUGAAAUGAAAACAACAAAAGUUAAAACUUUCAACAACGGAUCUCUUGGUUCUC